Fukomys damarensis (Damara mole-rat) is the source of this 1626-nucleotide long non-coding RNA. Lineage: Eukaryota; Metazoa; Chordata; Mammalia; Rodentia; Bathyergidae. The record is from Ensembl.
GCCCUCUCUGCAGAUAUUUGGAAGAAUUACAGCACACUUUAGCACAUUUAGAAAUGUUCCCUUCCCUGCCCACACUUUUUAAAGACACAAUUGCAUAGUGACUGCCUGUAGGAAUUUUAAAAUACAUUCUUUGAAUGAGGAGAAAUGCAGACAUGUUGUCAACACUGGUCAUUUUCGUUCUGGACCUUAUGCUUGCUUCAGCUGCUGUGAUUACCCUGUAUGUUGUUUACUUAAUAGCAGCCACAACUAUUUUUAUCUCAGUUAUUUUCUAUGUUUACAAAGAAAAGAUGGAAAAACACUGUGAUUUUAACAAUGGUAGAUCUCUAGCAAUGCCGAAUCCUAGCAGUGCUGCUGAAGAGACAGUUGCUGGCCACAUGGAGAAGGUCAGCUCCAGGAUGCUUCCUGUCUAUUUUCCAGCUCUGCAAGAAAGGGCCCUUCUGUCCAAGGAAAGUGAUGUUCUCUUCUACGACCCAAGGAGCUUUGCACAGUGGAAGAGCCAUGGGGGGAAGAAUUGGCAGAUCCCAUCCACAACCAACGGAGAGUUCUUUUUUCAGCAGGCAAGCCAGGCCCCAAAAAGGAGAAAAUUGGAGGCCAUUUGUUGAGCUCGUCAAAUGAAAUCAAUCUGCCACCCCACCCUGAUCUGAGACAACAACUCUCACCCAGACAUUUGAAAUCACCUAACUUCUUUCCAGUGUUGCUGCUCUACACAUCUAAUUGCCACACAUCAGCCAAAACAAUCCCUAUAAAUACUAAGAAAAAUGUCUACCAGUCCUCUGCUCACCUCUGUCCAGUGACCUCUAACCUCAGAGGAGAAGCCAGGGAUCUUCAAGACCUUGAUCUUCAAGACUCUACAUGAAAAGGCCUUCUCCUGCCUCACCUUCCCACACUACCCCACUGUGUACCCCGAGUUUCAGCCACAGCACCUUCUUCCUGUUCUACUGACCUGACAGUUGGGCACAAAUCCCUCAGGAUCUUGUGCUUCUUCUUUAUACAUGACCCAGUGUCUACUUUGUCAAUUCUUCUUAAAGGUCACUUCUUUGAGGAGGAAUACUCUGGUCAGCCUAUAUGAAUGAAUAUAUCCAUCCUGUACUCAAUGUAACUCUUACCAUGGUUUUCUUUCAUAGCAUUUACUCAUACCUGAAAUAUUAUAUGCACAUUGUUUUCUUUUCUCCCCUAGUAGAAUAUGAAUUCCAUGAGAAUAGCGACUUUGUUUCUUUUAUUCCCUGCUGUAGCUCCAGUGUUUAGAACAGGUUCCAGUUGAUGAUAAAUGAUGAUUUGUUUAAUGCAUGAGUCAAUGAAUAGGUAGGUAUCUUUUUGCCUGCGAGAUGGUGUUUAAGAUUUCAGUUAUUCAAACCUCGCUGAAUGAAUUGCUUGGUGCCAAUGAAAGUUAAAGGAUAAAUAAAUGAAGACAAAUACGUAGGUCUUAUUAGUGUGAAUCGCCAGCUUGGUCUGCUGUCUUGGCUCUAUGCCAUAGUUGGAUAUCUUCUAAAUGUCAUUUGAACAAAGAUGAGACUAAUGAAAGCUAGAACACAGAUUCAUUACUUUAUUGGACUUAUCUUUUGGUAUUAUCAAGUGAAUAAAGAUAAUUUCAAAAAUAAUUUAAGUGAAAAAUGUUCACAGUUUAAC